Molecule: ribosomal RNA, 522 nt
Filed under: Escovopsis sp.
Lineage: Eukaryota; Fungi; Ascomycota; Sordariomycetes; Hypocreales; Hypocreaceae
Description: partial large subunit ribosomal RNA
Rfam family: Eukaryotic large subunit ribosomal RNA
Source: RNAcentral
GUAACGGCGAGUGAGCGGCAACAGCUCAAAUUUGAAAUCUGGCCCCUAGGGCCCGAGUUGUAAUUUGCAGAGGAUGCUUCUGGCGAGGCGCCGCCCGAGUUCCCUGGAACGGGACGCCAUAGAGGGUGAGAGCCCCGUCUGGCUGGCCGCCGAGCCUCUGUGAAGCUCCUUCGACGAGUCGAGUAGUUUGGGAAUGCUGCUCAAAAUGGGAGGUAUAUGCCUUCUAAAGCUAAAUACCGGCCAGAGACCGAUAGCGCACAAGUAGAGUGAUCGAAAGAUGAAAAGCACUUUGAAAAGAGGGUUAAACAGUACGUGAAAUUGUUGAAAGGGAAGCGCUUGCGACCAGACUCGCGGGCGGUGGAUCAUCUGGCGUUCUCGCCCGUGCACUCCGCCGCCCGCGGGCCAGCAUCGGCUCGCCUCGGGGGACAAAGGCGCUGGGAAUGUGGCUCCUCCGGGAGUGUUAUAGCCCGGCGUGCAAUGCCCUGUGGCGGGCCGAGGACCGCGCGUUUUACGCAAGGAUGC